Molecule: ribosomal RNA, 485 nt
Filed under: uncultured bacterium
Lineage: Bacteria
Description: bacterial SSU rRNA
Rfam family: Bacterial small subunit ribosomal RNA
Source: RNAcentral
AACCGAGAACUCCUACGGGAGGCAGCAGUAGGGAAUCUUCCGCAAUGGACGAAAGUCUGACGGAGCAAUGCCGCGUGAGCGAAGAAGGCCUUCGGGUCGUAAAGCUCUGUUGUUAGGGAAGAACAAGUAACGCAGUAACUGGCGUUACCGUGACGGUACCUAACGAGAAAGCCACGGCUAACUACGUGCCAGCAGCCGCGGUAAUACGUAGGUGGCAAGCGUUGUCCGGAAUUAUUGGGCGUAAAGCGCGCGCAGGCGGUUCCUUAAGUCUGAUGUGAAAGCCCACGGCUCAACCGUGGUGGGUCAUUGGAAACUGGGGGAAUUGAGUGCAGAAGAGGAGAGUGGAAUUCCACGUGCAGCGGUGAAAUGCGUAGAGAUGUGGAGGAACACCAGUGGCGAAGGCGGCUCUCUGGUCUGUAACUGACGCUGAGGCGCGAAAGCGUGGGGAGCAAACAGGAUUAGAUACCCUGGUAGUCCGACUGAGA